This is a long non-coding RNA of Neopelma chrysocephalum (saffron-crested tyrant-manakin), 564 nucleotides long. RefSeq lists it as uncharacterized. The record is from RefSeq and is a predicted model, not a curated record. NCBI's taxonomy places the organism in Eukaryota, Metazoa, Chordata, Aves, Passeriformes, Pipridae. The transcript is spliced from 2 exons.
CAAGGAGACCGCAGAGUCUCCUGGGACACAGCUCCCAGGGUGGGAGGGACCAGCCUGUUCCCCUGCCAGACUUCCUCACCAGUGGUGUGGUGAGAGCACAGAGCCCCAGUUCCAUGGCAUAUGCACAGGGAAACGUGUCCAUUACCCUCCUUGUCACAAGCUGAGCGGCCAACAGCCAUGGUCCCUUGGACGAAGAUGACAGCAGAGCAGCCUGCACGUGACAGAGCAAGAGCAACAGCCACUUUCUUUUACAAGCUGAGGCAGUGGGUCUGUAUUAUUCAGCUCUCAAAGCUCCUUGUGCUCAGCUAAAGCACGACUUGCUUGAAAUACUCAUGGAAAGUUAAAUAGCAGGGUAAUGAAGCUCCUGGUGAGGCAUGAGAGCAACUCUGCGGGCUGGCUGAACAGGAGGGAUGCUUCGGCAAGGACUGCUACUGAUAUUAAAAUGUUAUAUUUUCUGUAUAUUUAUUCUUGUGUUAUACACAGAGGUUAUCUAUCUUUAGAGAUAAAAAUAUGUGAUAUCAACAUGUACUUGUAUGAUAUAAAUAGAAAAAUACUGAUUAUAUA